GUAGGAGUACCCUAUUUUCCCUUGGGUGUGGCUAUGUUUUUGGCAUAUCGGAGUGGUAGAGGGAAGAAAUGAAGUUUUUUUUUUGCGAGGAAGUUAGAAGUGUGUCUCUGUUAUCAAUGGUAUAGCCUAGAGGGUGUAUAUAUGGAUGAAAUGAGUACUACGUGCAUGAAGUCGGAUGGGUAGGCACAAGAAAUAAAUUAGCCAGCGUCCUUACAUAUGCUUUUUUUAGGGAUCGUCCUUACAUAUGUGGGCCAGCCAAAUCAUCUACGUGCACAUGUAUUCACCGAAAAGAAGAACAGAGUGUACAUGUCUGUCUUUUGGAAACUUGAGGCCCCGCUUGGAUGGACGUUUUGAGGCCUGAUACCAGCCUAAAAAUAUACCACUGAAACCCAAAAGUCCACUAAAAUAUCUACAG
Molecule: long non-coding RNA, 415 nt
Filed under: Brachypodium distachyon (stiff brome)
Lineage: Eukaryota; Viridiplantae; Streptophyta; Magnoliopsida; Poales; Poaceae
Description: long non-coding RNA (BDIS_LNC003655)
Source: RNAcentral